This 499-nucleotide ribosomal RNA is filed under the name uncultured bacterium. RNAcentral's name for it is "bacterial SSU rRNA". It matches the Rfam family "Bacterial small subunit ribosomal RNA", at positions 29 to 516 of the family's 1533-position model. The record is from RNAcentral.
AACAAACGCUGGCGGCGUGUCUUAAGCAUGCAAGUUGAGCGGCAAGGAGGAGAGAUCCUCCCUAGAGCAGCGGACUGGUGAGUAACGCGUGGGUAAUCUAUCUUAGGCAUGGGGAUAGUCACUAGAAAUAGUGGGUAAUACCGAAUAAGUUCCAUAAGGGGAGGACUUAUGGAAGAAAGGUGCUACGGCACUGGCCUUAGGUGAGCUCGCAUCCCAUUAGCUAGUUGGUGAGGUAAAGGCCCACCAAGGCGAUGAUGGGUAGCCGGCCUGAGAGGGUGUACGGCCACACUGGGACUGAGAUACGGCCCAGACUCCUACGGGAGGCAGCAGCUAAGAAUAUUCCGCAAUGGACGGAAGUCUGACGGAGCGACGCCGCGUGGAUGAAGAAGGCCGAAAGGUUGUAAAGUUCUUUUGCUAGGGGAGAAUAAGUGUGGGAGGGAAUGCCUGCACGAUGACAAGGACUAGCGAAUAAGUCCCGGCCAACUACGUGCCAGCAGCC